Molecule: long non-coding RNA, 2444 nt
Filed under: Sarcophilus harrisii (Tasmanian devil)
Lineage: Eukaryota; Metazoa; Chordata; Mammalia; Dasyuromorphia; Dasyuridae
Description: lncRNA (ENSSHAG00000025407.1)
Source: RNAcentral
AUUUUCUUCAUACACACCUAAUAAACCAUACAAUGGAUAAAAUACUUACUUGACAAACUUCCUGUAAGCUUUUUAUUUUUCAUUUACAAAGGGCAUAAUAAUAGCACCUUUCAUCUGAAGAGCUGAAGGUGUUUUUUACAAAUGUCAACAUUUUAAAACAAUCAAAGAACAAGGAGUCUUGCAAUCAGUCUCUGUUUCAAAGUGCACCAUUUUCCAGAAGUUGUCAUAACACUCUACCAAUGAUGUUUUCAGGAAAUGUAUCCUGUUUCUAUAUUAUAAAUCAAAUUGGAAAAAAAGGCAUAGUCCCAAAUCCUUUUGCAAUACAAGCAUCCAUUUUAAAAGGACAAGAAAAAAAAAAUUGGCCCAACCGCAAAAAAGGGGAAAUUUGAAGGGUAGUCAGCACCACCCAAAUACAAUGUGUAAAGCAGUCAACACUAAUUUAGAAACACCACAAUCUACCUCAAAUACCUGAGAUAGAUGCUAGUGUAAAACACAUAGGAGGCUGAUGUCUUCCCUCAUUUCUAUUCAUGCAGGUAAGAAGGAAAUGAUGCAGGCUAUAUGAUACCUGUAUUGUGGACCCAAGACCUCUUACCACUGCACCCAGUUUAAUCCACUUAUAGUGGUAUUUUCCUGUGAAAAACAUCAAUUAAUAAAAGGUUAAAAUAUAUAAUAGGGUGUCAGCAAAAGGGAGUCGAUGACAAUUAGAAGCAGACAGUGCUCACUACAGCCUAGGAUAUUUUAUUAGAAACCAAAUAUGUUGAAAAAAGUAAAAAAUAAGUCACCCCCAUUAAUACAACAGAAAUGAUUUCACAUACAACCUACAAAGGGAGUAACAGAUCCUCCUGCCUACAGACAUAUUAAGACUGUCAAUUAACUCCCACACCAAAUGACAUUUAUUUUCUAUUGUACAUAGCCCUUUUUCAUGGGAUGGAGUCCAAAUAUUCCUUCUAAAGUUUACAAAAAUCUCAUACAUUCACUCUUUCUUGAAACUGAAUAAAUCUAAAUGAUCCUUUUUCUCUGUGUCAAAAAGCUAUUACACUUUUGUUGACAAGAAAUUAGGCAUGUCCACAAUUAUUGAGCAAUGGAUGCAGGAUUAUCGUUAGCAUAUGCCUUACCAGUGAUAUACAAGUGCAGUUCCAUAAGAGAAAGUCACAUUGGAGGGAGAAUUUAAACAAUGACAAUGAUAUAGGAAUAGAAGUGUCAGAGGGUAGGAUAGGAUACUAGAUAUAACUAGUUUUAUUGGUACAACUUAAAAGCAAUAGAGGCUGAACAAUUCAAUACAAUUUAUAACGGAAAAAAAAAAUACUGUAAUAAGGAGGUGUCAAAACAAACAGGAGUUAUUUGCAUCAUAUAUCAAAAGAUCAUCAAUUUCCAGUGUUCCACAAUUAGUAAAAUACACAACUACGGAUAGUCCCAUAAGACAAAAAUACCUUUUUUCCCCCUGAAUUCAACUGGGUUCAAGUGUGUACAGAAAAGUGUCCAAGCCACUUCUUUUUCUGAUAAUAGCUACAUAAUCAAAAGCUACACAAAGAAAAUUGUUAGGGAAGGAGUAAAAUAGAGGAAGAAGGAAAACAGAAUCUCCAAUUAUGGAAGAAAAUUGAAAUCCAAAGGGAAUUGUGCUCUUCAUUUCCCCAAACACAAAACCAAACCAAAAGUGUCCAUCAAAAACAAUGUGCCAAGGAGAACUUUAGCUACAGUGAUUUUUUUUUUUUUAUUGCAUUUCAGGAUGACCUGGAGGUUAUUUACCUAGAGGGGAAAAGUUGAUUUUUCAAAACUACCUGAACAGAUACUAAAGUGCUUUAUUAAAAUUGGCUGGCUUCACAAGAUUCCUGGAAUGACAAAAAUGAACCACAGUCAAGGAAUACCAAGAUAGUUCACAAAAUGGUCAAAGCCAACAUGACUCACACUCACAGCUCUGAGAUGGGCUGCUGGAACACUUGUCCUUCUUUAGCAGACAGUUGCAUAUUAAGAAGUGAUCAUCACACCACUGUAGGUGUUCAGACUGCUCACACAAAGCCUCAAACAUGCUAUCACAGAACUUUAAGGAAAGCUCCAACAUAUCUUCCUUGUAAGCUUCAAGGUUUUUAAGGAUUUGCUUUUCACAUAUAGCCUGGACUCUUUUCACUUUUGAAGUUGCAACCAAAUCAAAACUCUUUCUUUAAAGUGAAAGGCAAGUGUUACAGCAAGAGAAACCAUGAUUUUGCUUAAUGGUACUUGUGGAUGGAUUGUAAACUGAGUUAAUCUCAAUCCACUAACUGGUAUCAAAUUAAUACAUCAGCAUUACAAGUAUUAAAUGUUUCAAUACUACCUACAGAAGAUAGAACCAAAAUAUUCAUAUGGCAGUUAUGUUCUUUAGGCACAGUUUAGUGAUUUUUUAAAAAAUAAAUACCAUUGAAUUUCAAUUCAAGUUCUAAACCUGAUAACCAAAGAAUUAAGAUAUUCUU